Molecule: unclassified non-coding RNA, 238 nt
Filed under: Leucosporidium sp.
Lineage: Eukaryota; Fungi; Basidiomycota; Microbotryomycetes; Leucosporidiales; Leucosporidiaceae
Description: partial internal transcribed spacer region
Rfam family: Eukaryotic small subunit ribosomal RNA (bases 1-46)
Source: RNAcentral
AAGUCGUAACAAGGUUUCCGUAGGUGAACCUGCGGAAGGAUCAUUAGUGAAUAUAGCGCAUCUCUUCGGAGAGCGUGACCUCCACUUUCAACUCUGUGCAUUUUUUGGCGAGGGAACGAGACGAAGCGACGCAAGUUGCAGACUCUCGCCUCUUGCGGCUCAUUUUAAACACUAGUUAAAGUAUGUAACGAAAUAUCGAAACAAAAAAAAACUUUCAACAACGGAUCUCUUGGCUCUC